This is a long non-coding RNA of Mus musculus (house mouse), 1183 nucleotides long. RefSeq annotates it as predicted gene, 31597. The transcript has 3 exons. The record is from RefSeq and is a predicted model, not a curated record. NCBI's taxonomy places the organism in Eukaryota, Metazoa, Chordata, Mammalia, Rodentia, Muridae.
CCGGGUUCUGCAAAGCAGGCUCCUCCCCUUCCUCCUCCCUUCUCUCCUCCCUUCCUCCCCAGCCCAGACUAGCACUACCGGUACCUGAUUUGGGGUAGGUGACAAUGAAGAUGUCGUCGUCCCGCACGUUGCUAGUGUUCUCAGCCAGACUGAGGCUCUCCGGAGUGGGAAACUGAGUCACCUUCCAAGGAAGGAUCUUGUGCCCGUAGGCACCCUGAAAUCGUUCCUGGAUAAUGAAUCUUCCCCAACGUAAAUGUGUGCUACCUUCAAGACAGGAAGAGGAGGGGGAGUCGGGUGGGGGGCAUGGCCCCACCCCUGAGACCUAGGGAUACACAGAUGACCUUGAGAAAGAAGCCAGUGAAGGACACAAGCUCUACACUGCAGCAUUGAAGAUCCAGAGCCAAGAGGAGGAAAUGAGUGCUCAGCGAAACACUUGCAGCCAGCCCAUCACAGAAACAUGUUUCCAUCUUGUUUGUUUGUUUUUGAGUUAUAAUUUUUGUGUAGGCUUGCCUGAAGCUAGCUCUGUAGACCAGGCUGGUCUCGAACUGAGAGAUCUGACUCCCCAGUGCUGGGAUUAAAGGCAUAUGGCACCACUACUGGUGUGUUUCCAUCUUGGCAGUAUCCUCAGAUGACAUCGUUUCCAUUUCUGAAAUUCAGUACACAAACAUCUGCUGUAAAGAAGUCGGGAAUCAAACUGAACUUAGUCAUCCAAAGCCCGGAAUGCGUGGGGGUCAAAGGUCUUGGUGCACGUGCCUCAGGUUAAAAUGAAUGAGGCAGAGAGCUGGGUGUGGUGGCGCACACCUUUAACCCCAGCCCCUGGCUGGCAGAGACGGGUAGAUCGCUGAGAGUUCUAGGCCAGCCUGGUCUACAUAGAGAGACCCUGCCUCAGAACACAAAACAAAAAGUAAAGGACGGGGUAUGGCUGAUGGUAGAGCACUGGCCAGACAUGCCAAGGUCCUUCCUGGGUUCAAUCCUCAGUGUUAUCCAAAACAGACAAAUCUAUUUAGGUUGUAAAACAGGUCUAGCUGUAGAUCACGCAUCUGCCUGCAACCAUGUGUUCAUGUGUAAGCAACUGCCAAGGUCAUCACCACGUGAGCUUCAGGAGAGAAACCUAUGUGUGGUGUGUGUGCGCAUGGGCAUGUGUUGUGUGCAUGUGUUCAUGAGUGUGUGCAUGUGUGCACGU